UUUCCGUAGGUGAACCUGCGGAAGGAUCAUUACUUAGUGAGCGCCCUCUGGGUCCAAUCUCCCACCCGUGUUCAUUGUACCUUGUUGCUUAGGUGAGCCCGCCUCACGGCCGCCGGGGGGCAUCUGCCACCGGGACCGCGCUCGCCAGAGACACUCUUGAACUCUUUCUGAAGUGUGCAGUCUGAGCAAAAACUAGAUAAGUUAAAACUUUCAACAACGGAUCUCUUGGUUCCG
RNAcentral lists this unclassified non-coding RNA (234 nucleotides) under plant metagenome. Its description in RNAcentral is "partial contains small subunit ribosomal RNA, internal transcribed spacer 1, and 5.8S ribosomal RNA". The record is from RNAcentral.